AGAGUUUGAUCCUGGCUCAGGAUGAACGCUAGCUACAGGCUUAAUACAUGCAAGUCGAACGGUAAGGCCGAGUGCAGCAAUGCACGAGGUACACGAGUGGCGCACGGGUGCGUAACGCGUAUGCAACCUGCCCUUCACCGGGACAAAACAGCUGGAAACGGCUGCUAAUAUCCCAUGGUUACGAGAGGUGGCAUCACCAUUCGUAUAAAGAUUCAUUGGUGAGGGAUGGGCAUGCGUAUUAUUAGGUAGUUGGCGGGGUAACGGCCCACCAAGCCGACGAUGAUUAGGGGUUCUGAGAGGAUUAACCCCCACACUGGAACUGAGACACGGUCCAGACUCCUACGGGAGGCAGCAGUAGGGAAUAUUGGGCAAUGGAGGCAACUCUGACCCAGCCAUGCCGCGUGAAGGAAGACGGCCCUAUGGGUUGUAAACUUCUUUUGUCGCAGAGUAAAGUCGGUCACGUGUGGCCGUUUGAGAGUAUGCGACGAAUAAGUAUCGGCUAACUCCGUGCCAGCAGCCGCGGUAAUACGGGGGAUACGAGCGUUAUCCGGAUUUAUUGGGUUUAAAGGGUGCGCAGGCGGAUCGGUAAGUCAGGGGUGAAAAGUUGGGGCUCAACUCCAAUCGUGCCUUUGAUACUGCCGGACUAGAGUGCAAUAGACGUGGCCGGAAUGUGAUGUGUAGCGGUGAAAUGCUUAGAUAUGUCACAGAACACCGAUCGAGAAGUCAGGUCACGAGUUUGCAACUGACGCUCAGGCACGAAAGCGUGGGGAUCAAACAGGAUUAGAUACCCUGGUAGUCCACGCUGUAAACGAUGAUCACUCGUUGUUGGGCGGCGACGUUCAGCGGCCAAGCGAAAGCGAUAAGUGAUCCACCUGGGGAGUACGAUCGCAAGGUUGAAACUCAAAGGAAUUGACGGGGGCCCGCACAAGCGGAGGAGCAUGUGGUUUAAUUCGAUGAUACGCGAGGAACCUUACCCGGGCUUGAACGUAACACCAACAUACAGGAGACUGUAUGGCCUUCGGGGGUGUUGCGAGGUGCUGCAUGGUUGUCGUCAGCUCGUGCCGUGAGGUGUUAGGUUAAGUCCUGCAACGAGCGCAACCCUUACCUUCAGUUGCCAGCACGUCAUGGUGGGGACUCUGAAGGAACUGCCUACGCAAGUAGAGAGGAAGGUGGGGAUGACGUCAAAUCAGCACGGCCCUUAUGUCCGGGGCUACACACGUGCUACAAUGGCGCGCACAGAAGGCAGCGACCCUGCGAGGGGGAGCGAAUCCCGAAAGCGCGUCUCAGUUCGGAUCGGAGUCUGGAACCCGACUCCGUGAAGUUGGAUUCGCUAGUAAUCGCGCAUCAGCCAUGACGCGGUGAAUACGUUCCCGGGCCUUGUACACACCGCCCAAUCUCUAGAG
This 1403-nucleotide ribosomal RNA is filed under the name uncultured rumen bacterium. RNAcentral's name for it is "bacterial SSU rRNA". It matches the Rfam family "Bacterial small subunit ribosomal RNA". The record is from RNAcentral.